AACGAACGCUGGCGGCAUGCCUAACACAUGCAAGUCGAACGAUUGCCUUCGGGUGAUAGUGGCGCACGGGUGCGUAACGCGUGGGAAUCUGCCCUUAGGUUCGGAAUAACAGCUGGAAACGGCUGCUAAUACCGGAUGAUAUCGCGAGAUCAAAGAUUUAUCGCCUGAGGAUGAGCCCGCGUUGGAUUAGGUAGUUGGUGGGGUAAAGGCCUACCAAGCCGACGAUCCAUAGCUGGUCUGAGAGGAUGAUCAGCCACACUGGGACUGAGACACGGCCCAGACUCCUACGGGAGGCAGCAGUGGGGAAUAUUGGACAAUGGGCGCAAGCCUGAUCCAGCAAUGCCGCGUGAGUGAUGAAGGCCCUAGGGUUGUAAGGCUCUUUUACCCGGGAAGAUAAUGACGGUACCGGAAGAAUAAGCCCCGGCUACUCCGUG
Molecule: ribosomal RNA, 434 nt
Filed under: uncultured bacterium
Lineage: Bacteria
Description: partial 16S ribosomal RNA
Rfam family: Bacterial small subunit ribosomal RNA
Source: RNAcentral